CCGAAUGGGGAAACCCAGUGUGAUUCGUCACACUAUCAUUAACUGAAUCCAUAGGUUAAUGAGGCGAACCGGGGGAACUGAAACAUCUAAGUACCCCGAGGAAAAGAAAUCAACCGAGAUUCCCCCAGUAGCGGCGAGCGAACGGGGAGGAGCCCAGAGCCUGAAUCAGCAUGUGUGUUAGUGGAAGCGUCUGGAAAGGCGCGCGAUACAGGGUGACAGCCCCGUACACAAAAGCGCAUGUGCUGUGAGCUCGAUGAGUAGGGCGGGACACGUGGUAUCCUGUCUGAAUAUGGGGGGACCAUCCUCCAAGGCUAAAUACUCCUGACUGACCGAUAGUGAACCAGUACCGUGAGGGAAAGGCGAAAAGAACCCCGGCGAGGGGAGUGAAAAAGAACCUGAAACCGUGUACGUACAAGCAGUGGGAGCACAGGUUUACCUGUGUGACUGCGUACCUUUUGUAUAAUGGGUCAGCGACUUAUAUUCUGUAGCAAGGUUAACCGUAUAGGGGAGCCGGAGGGAAACCGAGUCUUAAUUGGGCGUUAAGUUGCAGGGUAUAGACCCGAAACCCGGUGAUCUAGCCAUGGGCAGGUUGAAGGUUGGGUAACACUAACUGGAGGACCGAACCGACUAAUGUUGAAAAAUUAGCGGAUGACCUGUGGCUGGGGGUGAAAGGCCAAUCAAACCGGGAGAUAGCUGGUUCUCCCCGAAAGCUAUUUAGGUAGCGCCUCGUGAAUUCAUCUCCGGGGGUAGAGCACUGUUUCGGCUAGGGGGCCAUCCCGGCUUACCAACCCGAUGCAAACUGCGAAUACCGGAGAAUGUUAUCACGGGAGACACACGGCGGGUGCUAACGUCCGUCGUGAAGAGGGAAACAACCCAGACCGCCAGCUAAGGUCCCAAAGUCAUGGUUAAGUGGGAAACGAUGUGGGAAGGCCCAGACAGCCAGGAUGUUGGCUUAGAAGCAGCCAUCAUUUAAAGAAAGCGUAAUAGCUCACUGGUCGAGUCGGCCUGCGCGGAAGAUGUAACGGGGCUAAACCAUGCACCGAAGCUGCGGCAGCGANNUGCUGGAGGUAUCAGAAGUGCGAAUGCUGACAUAAGUAACGAUAAAGCGGGUGAAAAGCCCGCUCGCCGGAAGACCAAGGGUUCCUGUCCAACGUUAAUCGGGGCAGGGUGAGUCGACCCCUAAGGCGAGGCCGAAAGGCGUAGUCGAUGGGAAACGGGUUAAUAUUCCCGUACUUGGUGUUACUGCGAAGGGGGGACGGAGAAGGCUAUGUUGGCCGGGCGACGGUUGUCCCGGUUUAAGCGUGUAGGUGUGUGUUCCAGGUAAAUCCGGUUCACUUUAACACUGAGGCGUGACGACGAGGCACUACGGUGCUGAAGCAACAAAUGCCCUGCUUCCAGGAAAAGCCUCUAAGCAUCAGGUAACAUCAAAUCGUACCCCAAACCGACACAGGUGGUCAGGUAGAGAAUACCAAGGCGCUUGAGAGAACUCGGGUGAAGGAACUAGGCAAAAUGGUGCCGUAACUUCGGGAGAAGGCACGCUGACACGUAGGUGAAGUGAUUUACUCAUGGAGCUGAAGUCAGUCGAAGAUACCAGCUGGCUGCAACUGUUUAUUAAAAACACAGCACUGUGCAAACACGAAAGUGGACGUAUACGGUGUGACGCCUGCCCGGUGCCGGAAGGUUAAUUGAUGGGGUCAGCGCAAGCGAAGCUCCUGAUCGAAGCCCCGGUAAACGGCGGCCGUAACUAUAACGGUCCUAAGGUAGCGAAAUUCCUUGUCGGGUAAGUUCCGACCUGCACGAAUGGCGUAAUGAUGGCCAGGCUGUCUCCACCCGAGACUCAGUGAAAUUGAACUCGCUGUGAAGAUGCAGUGUACCCGCGGCAAGACGGAAAGACCCCGUGAACCUUUACUAUAGCUUGACACUGAACAUUGAGCCUUGAUGUGUAGGAUAGGUGGGAGGCUUUGAAGUGUGGACGCCAGUCUGCAUGGAGCCGACCUUGAAAUACCACCCUUUAAUGUUUGAUGUUCUAACGUGGACCCGUAAUCCGGGUUGCGGACAGUGUCUGGUGGGUAGUUUGACUGGGGCGGUCUCCUCCUAAAGAGUAACGGAGGAGCACGAAGGUUGGCUAAUCCUGGUCGGACAUCAGGAGGUUAGUGCAAUGGCAUAAGCCAGCUUGACUGCGAGCGUGACGGCGCGAGCAGGUGCGAAAGCAGGUCAUAGUGAUCCGGUGGUUCUGAAUGGAAGGGCCAUCGCUCAACGGAUAAAAGGUACUCCGGGGAUAACAGGCUGAUACCGCCCAAGAGUUCAUAUCGACGGCGGUGUUUGGCACCUCGAUGUCGGCUCAUCACAUCCUGGGGCUGAAGUAGGUCCCAAGGGUAUGGCUGUUCGCCAUUUAAAGUGGUACGCGAGCUGGGUUUAGAACGUCGUGAGACAGUUCGGUCCCUAUCUGCCGUGGGCGCUGGAGAACUGAGGGGGGCUGCUCCUAGUACGAGAGGACCGGAGUGGACGCAUCACUGGUGUUCGGGUUGUCAUGCCAAUGGCACUGCCCGGUAGCUAAAUGCGGAAGAGAUAAGUGCUGAAAGCAUCUAAGCACGAAACUUGCCCCGAGAUGAGUUCUCCCUGAGACUU
This 2628-nucleotide ribosomal RNA is filed under the name Salmonella enterica subsp. enterica serovar Typhimurium. Its description in RNAcentral is "bacterial LSU rRNA". It matches the Rfam family "Bacterial large subunit ribosomal RNA". The record is from RNAcentral. Lineage: Bacteria; Pseudomonadati; Pseudomonadota; Gammaproteobacteria; Enterobacterales; Enterobacteriaceae.